This 630-nucleotide ribosomal RNA is filed under the name uncultured fungus. Its description in RNAcentral is "LSU rRNA". It matches the Rfam family "Eukaryotic large subunit ribosomal RNA", at positions 23 to 664 of the family's 3401-position model. Lineage: Eukaryota; Fungi. The record is from RNAcentral.
ACCCGCUGAACUUAAGCAUAUCAAUAAGCGGAGGAAAAGAAACUAACAAGGAUUCCCCUAGUAAUGGCGAAUGAAGCGGGAAAAGCUCAAAUUUGAAAUCUGGCCGUUCUGCGGUCCGAGUUGUAAUUUCAAGAAGCGUCUUCGGAUGCGGCCCGGGUUUAAGUUCCUUGGAACAGGACGUCAUAGAGGGUGAGAACCCCGUCUUUGGCCCGGUGACCGUAUUCAUGUGAAGCGUUUUCGAAGAGUCGAGUUGUUUGGGAAUGCAGCUCUAAAUGGGUGGUAAAUUCCAUCUAAAGCUAAAUAUUGGUGGGAGACCGAUAGCGAACAAGUAGAGUGAUCGAAAGGUGAAAAGAACUUUGAAAAGAGAGUUAAACAGUACGUGAAAUUGUUGAAAGGGAAGCGCUUGAAGUCAGACUCGCCUGCUUCGGAUCAGCCUAGCUUUUGUUGGGUGCACUCCGGAGUUUGGCGGGCCAGCAUCAGUUUUGGAAGUCGGAUAAAGGUCUUGGGAACGUAGCUCUCUUCGGGGAGUGUUAUAGCCCAGGACGCAAUGCGACAAUCCGGGACUGAGGACCGCGGCUUUUGCCUAGGAUGCUGGCUUAAUGGCUUUAAGCGACCCGUCUUGAAACACGG